This 330-nucleotide ribosomal RNA is filed under the name Triticum aestivum (bread wheat). RNAcentral's name for it is "partial small subunit ribosomal RNA". The record is from RNAcentral. Lineage: Eukaryota; Viridiplantae; Streptophyta; Magnoliopsida; Poales; Poaceae.
AUGGGAACAACAUUAGAUAUCAACGAGGAAACAUGGAGAAGGCUGAAAUCUUCCGCAACCUGCAUGACACCUUGCGGUGGGAGCAAAAUCAUAAUCACCAGUCGGUCAGACAGAAUUGUGAAUCUGGGAACAACGGAAGCACUUCGACUGGACUAUCUCUCUCAAGAAGGUUAUUGGCAUUUUUUCAAGUCGAUUGCAUUUGGAAGCAUAAACCCUGGCGAGCAUCCAAAACUGGCAACUAUGGCUAUGGAGAUCGCUUUGGAACAGAGACAGUGUUUCUCAUGCGCGCAUGUCGUUGCUGGGUUAUUGCAACAUAAAUUCAAUGGCUGA